Molecule: ribosomal RNA, 468 nt
Filed under: uncultured bacterium
Lineage: Bacteria
Description: partial 16S ribosomal RNA
Rfam family: Bacterial small subunit ribosomal RNA
Source: RNAcentral
GACGAACGCUGGCGGCGUGCUUAACACAUGCAAGUCGAACGGAAAGGCCCUGCUUUGGUGGGGUGCUCGAGUGGCGAACGGGUGAGUAACACGUGAGUAACCUGCCCUGGACUUUGGGAUAACUUCAGGAAACUGGGGCUAAUACCGGAUAGGAGCUCCUGCUGCAUGGUGGGGGGGGGAAAGUUUCGGCGGGGGGGGAUGGACUCGCGGCUUAUCAGCUUGUUGGUGGGGUAGUGGCCUACCAAGGCUUUGACGGGUAGCCGGCCUGAGAGGGUGACCGGCCACAUUGGGACUGAGAUACGGCCCAGACUCCUACGGGAGGCAGCAGUGGGGAAUAUUGCACAAUGGGCGGAAGCCUGAUGCAGCAACGCCGCGUGCGGGAUGACGGCCUUCGGGUUGUAAACCGCUUUCGCCUGUGACGAAGCGUGAGUGACGGUAAUGGGUAAAGAAGCACCGGCUAACUACGUG